GCGGGUGUAGCUCAGUUGGCUAGAGCGUCUGCCUUCCAAGCAGAAGGUCACCGGUUCGAACCCGGUUACCCGCUCCA
Molecule: transfer RNA, 77 nt
Filed under: Oceanicoccus sp.
Lineage: Bacteria; Pseudomonadati; Pseudomonadota; Gammaproteobacteria; Cellvibrionales; Spongiibacteraceae
Also listed under: 1 other name
Description: tRNA-Gly
Rfam family: tRNA
About the family: Transfer RNA (tRNA) molecules are approximately 80 nucleotides in length.
Source: RNAcentral